UACGUAGGGUCCGAGCGUUGUUCGGAAUUAUUGGGCGUAAAGGGCGCGUAGGCGGUUUGACAAGUCUGAUGUGAAAUCUAUGGGCUCAACCCAUAGCCUGCAUUAGAAACUGUCGGGCUUGAGUAUGGGAGAGGUGAGUGGAAUUUCCGGUGUAGCGGUGAAAUGCGUAGAUAUCGGAAGGAACACCUGUGGCGAAAGCGGGUCUCUGGGCAACAACUGACGCUGAGGAGCGAAAAGCGUGGGGGAGCGAACAGG
This 255-nucleotide ribosomal RNA is filed under the name uncultured bacterium. RNAcentral describes it as "partial 16S ribosomal RNA". It matches the Rfam family "Bacterial small subunit ribosomal RNA", at positions 524 to 776 of the family's 1533-position model. The record is from RNAcentral.